AUUGAACGCUGGCGGCAUGCUUUACACAUGCAAGUCGAACGGUAACAGGCCUUCGGGUGCUGACGAGUGGCGAACGGGUGAGUAAUGCAUCGGAACGUACCCAGAGGUGGGGGAUAACGCAGCGAAAGCUGUGCUAAUACCGCAUGUGAUCUGAGGAUGAAAGCGGGGGACCGAGCAGCAAUGUUUGGCCUCGCGCCUUUGGAGCGGCCGAUGUCGGAUUAGCUAGUUGGUGGGGUAAAGGCCUACCAAGGCGACGAUCCGUAGCUGGUCUGAGAGGACGACCAGCCACACUGGGACUGAGACACGGCCCAGACUCCUACGGGAGGCAGCAGUGGGGAAUUUUGGACAAUGGGCGCAAGCCUGAUCCAGCAAUGCCGCGUGCGGGAAGAAGGCUUUCGGGUUGUAAACCGCUUUUGGCAGGAACGAAACGGUGUCCGCUAAUACCGGGCGCUAAUGACGGUACCUGCAGAAUAAGCACCGGCUAACUACGUG
This 492-nucleotide ribosomal RNA is filed under the name uncultured bacterium. RNAcentral's name for it is "partial 16S ribosomal RNA". It matches the Rfam family "Bacterial small subunit ribosomal RNA", at positions 30 to 507 of the family's 1533-position model. The record is from RNAcentral.